This 389-nucleotide ribosomal RNA is filed under the name uncultured euryarchaeote. Its description in RNAcentral is "bacterial SSU rRNA". It matches the Rfam family "Archaeal small subunit ribosomal RNA", at positions 339 to 727 of the family's 1478-position model. The record is from RNAcentral. Lineage: Archaea; Methanobacteriati; Methanobacteriota.
UCGGGAAACUUCUGCAAUGCGCGCAAGCGUGACAGAGCAAACCAGAGUGCGUUUCCAUAUUGGAAACGCUUUUGUGAGAUGCAAAAAGUCUUACGAAUAAGGACCGGGCAAGACUGGUGCCAGCCGCCGCGGUAAUCCCAGCGGUCCGAGUCGCAGCCACAAUUAUUGGGUCUAAAACAUCCGUAGCUUGCUUUGUAAGUCUUUUGUGAAAUCGGGACUCUUAAGGUUCCGGCGAGCAAAAGAUACUGCUUAGCUAGAGACCGGUAGACGUAAUGAGUACGAAUAGGGUAGCGGUAAAAUGUGUUGAUCCUAUUCGGACUAACAACAGCGAAGGCACGUUACGAGCACGGUUCUGACAGUGAGGGAUGAAGGCUAGGGGCGCAAAGUGG